GGGAAUGUGGCUUAGUGGUAGAGUGCUUGCCUAGCAUGCAUGAAGUUCUGGGUUCAAUUCCUCAGUACCA
Molecule: transfer RNA, 70 nt
Filed under: Dipodomys ordii (Ord's kangaroo rat)
Lineage: Eukaryota; Metazoa; Chordata; Mammalia; Rodentia; Heteromyidae
Rfam family: tRNA
About the family: Transfer RNA (tRNA) molecules are approximately 80 nucleotides in length.
Source: Rfam by way of RNAcentral